RNAcentral lists this ribosomal RNA (306 nucleotides) under Triticum aestivum (bread wheat). Its description in RNAcentral is "partial small subunit ribosomal RNA". Lineage: Eukaryota; Viridiplantae; Streptophyta; Magnoliopsida; Poales; Poaceae. The record is from RNAcentral.
AUGUUCCCCAUGUUCCAGGAGCUUGCACCAGACAACCUAGGUGACAAGUGUGGUCACCACUACGCGAUUUUCCUUGACAUGAAGAACCAACGAUUUGAGGUGCUUGAUUCAAUGCGUUCAAAAGCUGAUGAAGACCUUACUACACAUGCUAAAUUCUUUAUCAACAACCUGAAAGAGACAUGGAUCCGUCACUACGAAAACUCAAAGGUCCAGAUCAGUCAUUUUCCAAUCAAGUAUGUCGCGACUACGAAGCAAGGAAACCGGCAUGACUGUGGCUUUCACACGUUGGAAUACCUUACAAAGUGA